AACGCGUAGGUAACCUGCCUUGUAGCGGGGGAUAACUAUUGGAAGCGAUAGCUAAUACCGCAUAACAAUGGAUGACCCAUGUCAUUUAUUUGAAAGGGGCAAAUGCUCCACUACAAGAUGGACCUGCGUUGUAUUAGCUAGUAGGUGAGGUAACGGCUCACCUAGGCGACGAUACAUAGCCGACCUGAGAGGGUGAUCGGCCACACUGGGACUGAGACACGGCCCAG
Molecule: ribosomal RNA, 227 nt
Filed under: uncultured Sphingobacteriales bacterium
Lineage: Bacteria; Pseudomonadati; Bacteroidota; Sphingobacteriia; Sphingobacteriales
Description: partial 16S ribosomal RNA
Rfam family: Bacterial small subunit ribosomal RNA
Source: RNAcentral